Molecule: long non-coding RNA, 3499 nt
Organism: Rosa rugosa (rugosa rose)
Lineage: Eukaryota; Viridiplantae; Streptophyta; Magnoliopsida; Rosales; Rosaceae
Exons: 8
Source: RefSeq, a predicted model, not a curated record
CCAGUUUUCCCACUCUCUCUGGCAGCCCAUUUUUCAUCCUUACUCACUUUAUCUCCGAAAGAACUAGCGACCCAUUUUCUGUCGAGCUCUUUCCCGUAACCCUAGCCAUCUCCUCCUUCUCUUCCGCUCUCUUUUCACGGCCACUACAGCCUACCUCUCCUCUGCUCACUCCCGCCCUCUCCCUCAUUAACCGCUGGCAAGCUCUCUCUCUCUCUCUCUCUCUCUAAGAUCUCAUAAGAUUGCAAGAAGGGGAAGAAUCCUUCUCUCAAUCUCUCUGUAGAAUAAGGAAUUUCGAUGGCUGCUGCGAGCGCGGAGAUCUGAGGAAGACCAACGCCCUCUCCGUAUAGCGGCUCAAGGAGCGGUUUAGAGAGUCGAGGUGGACCACCGGCUCAGGCACCACCAGAUUUUCGUUGACGGCUACUUCUCCUUGUAACCCGACAAGCUCGAAGAGGUCGACAUCGAGUCUGCUGAGGUCUUAUCCCCUUUCUUUUACUGCGAAUGCUGACAGUUCUCAAGCUACACAGUUGUGAGGACAUCAUUUCUGCCUCAAUGAUUGCUGGAGAGUCUGAUGACCCUGCCAGAUCCCUUCCCAGAUUGCUAAACUUCUUUCAGCAAAAGACAAAAUGCUGGUUUUGUGUCUCUUGCUAUGGAUCCUUGCAAUGGUUGUAUUUUUGGUGUUCAGCUUGGGAUCCCGAGGCACAUUUCAUGGACCACUGCCUACUUGAAAUCUUAUUGUAGAGGAUUGUGCCCAUGAUUAUGGAUAAUGCAUUUAUAGUAAAUAACUAUACCAGAGAGCUGUGAUCAAACUGAGAAGACUAAGAGGUCCAAGGCCAAUGGCUUUUGGGAGCAGUGGAGGUGAACCUGAAGUUGGGGAGUGGCUUUAUCUGGGGCUGGACUUUGGGACUUCUGGAGCGAGGUUUGCCAUUAUUGAUAAACGAGGGAUAAUUCAUGCUGAGGGAAAGAGAGAAACCCUCUUCUUUUGAAAGAGUGAAGAAAAAAUGGAUUGGGCCAGUUCAUGGAAGGCCACACUCUUCUCACUUCUCGGAGACAUUCCAUCUCAUCUUCGUAAAUUGAUUGCUUUCAUUUCCAUUGAUGGGACUUCUACAACUAUUCUCAUUGUUGACAGCAACACAAGAGAGCCGUUAUGGAGACCUUUCCUCUACAAUGAGAGCUGUCCUGAUGCUCUACCGAUGGUUAAAUCCAUUGCUCCUCCAAACCAUACAAUCUGCUCUGGUUCCUUUACUCUGCACUAUUGUUGCACCAAGCAGAUUGGCUUUUGUGGCUUCUUCAUGGAAAACUCGGAGUGUUUGAUUAUAAUAAUGCUUUGAAGGUCUUGCCGAUUGUCAAUCAGUGCUUACUAUGUUAACACGCUACAGGUAUGAUCAUCAGUCGAAUGAGGGUCAUUGCUGAAGUUAGGCAUGUGGAUCUAUUUCACUCGACCAAUGUAGUAUCAAUUUAAGGUGAUUAUAUUAUAUUGCAUAUCAUGUACAAUUUUCAGAAUUGAAUAUCUUGAUACUGUUUUAAAUGAUUGUUGUAGCCAAUGAGUAUCUUGAUAUAUAUAGUUCAUAUUGAUCUUGGAUGUGAAUUCGAAUAUUAGGUACAAUACAACAAUAUUGUUGUAGCCAACGUUUUAAAUGAUGGAAAUGGGGAGCUAAACUUUGACCUGGGUAGUAGCAAUCACUUCGUUUCCCGUUGUGCUUUCGCUAUAGAGCAGCUUUCAAAUACUUUAGAUCAAAGUAGUUACACUACAAAGAUAUAAUACAAAUUAUUUUAGUAAUGGACCAUCAUAAGAGGAAUAGGAGACAAGCUACCUAGCUAGACAAAACUGACUAGCAGCAAACGUAUGGCAUACUUCGACCAGAAAAAAAAAAUGAAAAUGAUACAUUCAAAUUCAACGUAACUUAAAUAGUAGAUCCGUAAAAAUUUACUGCUUUUAUAUGUUGGAAAUCUUUGUCAUUCUCUACAAUAACUCUCUGCUUCUUUUUUUAAUUUAAUUUUUUUUUCUAUUUGGAAAAUGCAUGUCCUAUUUGAAAAAUGGAUGCACUUUUUUUGCAGGUUGCAAUUGAGCUCUCUUAAGUUUUUGCCCAAACACUUGUUUAUGGUGUCAUAGUUUAUGCAAUCAUCAGAUUUGAGUGGACUGUGGCUAAAUUCUUAUGGUACCUAUUUUUCAUGUAUUUCACCUUCUAUUGUAUGGUGGGAGUGCUCUUCACACCCAACCUUUCACCUUCUUUAGUUUUUUGAAAGUCUGCUGCUUAAUAGAUUAAGCUGUUGAACUCAGGCAUUUGGAAUUAUUCCAUGUCAGUAGAUGCAACGACCGCACUUCCGCACGCGCGAAAGCGCGUGCAGGAAGGCUAGUAGAUAUAAAACAGGAAGUUGUUAGGGUGUAUGUUAGUUUUUGUCCAAACUUUUCCAUAAACCUUUUGUCCUAGGACAUCACUGCUUACUCGCUCUCAUCCUGUUAUAUAUGUACUAAGCUUAUAUAUCAAGGGGCAUAUUGCCGAAGAAUAAAUAUGGCCAUAGGUCUGUGGGGUCUCUUAUCUCAAAAAUAGAGGAAUUCACAUAGUUAGUGAAGUUAGCAUAUAGAAUGAUCAGUUUUACAAAAUUUUAUGAUUUUCUGUAAUGUUAUUGAUUUUUGGCGGUCAUGCCCUUGCAUUAAGCAAAGGUCGUGCAUCAGUUUUGCAUCUUCUGCGAAUAUUAUCUUAAUCCUUGCUAUAGGGAUGCUCAUAUCCAUAGCUCUUUGUUAAACAUAUUAUGAAUGAUAUUAACAGAUCUGGGAGACUUGUGCUGAUUAACAGAUCUUAAUCCUUGCAUCGCUGUUUGUUUUUGUUUUUGGUUUUGGUAAAAUGCUGGGGCAUAUAUCUUCCGGCCUAAUGGUACAUUUUUCAUACCUCUGUUUUUGAAUUCUCCAAUUGUAACACCACUUCUCAGAAAGCUUAAAGCAUAUAUACUUAUUUUGUAUGAAUGUAUAGCUGCACCACAAGUCCGUUAUAUGAUGCAAGAGAUCAUGUUCUAUAUAAGGUAAUCUAUGAAUGUAAUAAUUUUUGUUAUAGACUAAUGUAUUUAUAUGUUCUUACUAGUAUUUGUUCAUUGCUCUCUUUUGUUUGUCAUUUUCGUGUUCCUAUGUUCUUAAGUCAUAAUAGAUAUUUAGACUUUGUUUAACUUUCUCACCUUUGUUUGGUCAGGUCACCAACACGUAUGACCACGUACUGGUACACAUAUGGUGUUUCUCAAGCAUUAUAUGGGCGAGUCUUUGACCACUGGAACUUGCAAGCAUGAGGGAAGUAACUGGAACUUGCGUUGCUGAUCCAUUUUUGCUAAGGAAAUCAUCUUUUUUUGUGCUUCUCUGUUGGUACAUUGUCAUGCACCAUGUGUUGCAUGUUUUGGAAUAAUAGAUAUAUAUGUAUCAGCUUUUUGAUGUCCCAAGUAGAUGGGCAUGCACUAGAAUGCUUUUCUUGUUUAAAAUGUUGGGUUCAAUGAUUAGUGGUUUGCAAUGUUUAUA